RNAcentral lists this ribosomal RNA (405 nucleotides) under uncultured bacterium. Its description in RNAcentral is "bacterial SSU rRNA". It matches the Rfam family "Bacterial small subunit ribosomal RNA", at positions 355 to 774 of the family's 1533-position model. RNAcentral also lists the same sequence under 1 other name. The record is from RNAcentral.
UGGGGAAUAUUGGGCAAUGGGCGCAAGCCUGACCCAGCAACGCCGCGUGAGGGAAGAAGGUUUUCGGAUUGUAAACCUCUGUCGCAGAAGACGAAGGAAGUGACGGUAUUCUGUGAGGAAGCCCCGGCUAACUACGUGCCAGCAGCCGCGGUAAUACGUAGGGGGCGAGCGUUGUCCGGAAUUACUGGGCGUAAAGGGAGCGUAGGCGGUCUGAUAAGUUGGAUGUGAAAUACCCGGGCUUAACUUGGGGGGUGCAUCCAAUACUGUUGGACUAGAGUACAGGAGAGGAAAGCGGAAUUCCUAGUGUAGCGGUGAAAUGCAUAGAUAUUAGGAGGAACAUCGGUGGCGAAGGCGGCUUUCUGGACUGCAACUGACGCUGAGGCUCGAAAGCGUGGGGAGCAAACA